Molecule: ribosomal RNA, 253 nt
Filed under: uncultured bacterium
Lineage: Bacteria
Description: partial 16S ribosomal RNA
Rfam family: Bacterial small subunit ribosomal RNA
Source: RNAcentral
UACGGGGGGGGCAAGCGUUGUUCGGAAUUACUGGGCGUAAAGGGCUCGUAGGCGGCCAACUAAGUCCGACGUGAAAUCCCAAGGCUUAACCUUGGAACUGCGUCGGAUACUGGAUGGCUUGAAUUCGGGAGAGGGAUGCAGAAUUCCAGGUGUAGCGGUGAAAUGCGCAGAUAUCAGGAGGAACACCGGUGGCGAAGGCGGGUCUCUGGGCCGAUACUGACGCUGAGGAGCGAAAGCGUGGGGAGCGAACAGG